ACUCCUACGGGAGGCAGCAGUGGGGAAUAUUGCACAAUGGGCGCAAGCCUGAUGCAGCCAUGCCGCGUGUAUGAAGAAGGCCUUCGGGUUGUAAAGUACUUUCAGCAGUGAGGAAGGUAGUGUAGUUAAUAGCUGCAUUAUUUGUACGUUAGCUGCAGAAGAAGCACCGGCUAACUCCGUGCCAGCAGCCGCGGUAAUACGGAGGGUGCGAGCGUUAAUCGGAAUUACUGGGCGUAAAGCGCAUGCAGGUGGUUUGUUAAGUCAGAUGUGAAAGCCCGGGGCUCAACCUCGGAAUAGCAUUUGAAACUGGCAGACUAGAGUACUGUAGAGGGGGUAGAAUUUCAGGUGUAGCGGUGAAAUGCGUAGAGAUCUGAAGGAAUACCGGUGGCGAACGGCGGCCCCCGUGGACAGAUACUGACACUCAGAUGCGAAAGCGUGGGAGCAAACGAGGAUUAGAUACCCCGUGGUAGCGACUGA
This 477-nucleotide ribosomal RNA is filed under the name uncultured bacterium. RNAcentral describes it as "bacterial SSU rRNA". It matches the Rfam family "Bacterial small subunit ribosomal RNA", at positions 335 to 803 of the family's 1533-position model. The record is from RNAcentral.